GGGAAGAUGGCUCAGUGAUAGAGUGCUUGCCUUGCAUGCAUGAGGCCCUGGGUUCUAUUCCUCAGCCCC
This 69-nucleotide transfer RNA is filed under the name Dipodomys ordii (Ord's kangaroo rat). It matches the Rfam family "tRNA". From Rfam's summary of the family: Transfer RNA (tRNA) molecules are approximately 80 nucleotides in length. Their secondary structure includes four short double-helical elements and three loops (D, anti-codon, and T loops). The record is from Rfam by way of RNAcentral. Lineage: Eukaryota; Metazoa; Chordata; Mammalia; Rodentia; Heteromyidae.